RNAcentral lists this long non-coding RNA (260 nucleotides) under Elaeis guineensis (African oil palm). Its description in RNAcentral is "long non-coding RNA (EGUI_LNC018613)". The record is from RNAcentral. Lineage: Eukaryota; Viridiplantae; Streptophyta; Magnoliopsida; Arecales; Arecaceae.
GUCUAAAUCUAUCUUUACCAGUGUCACUGUAUCUCUAACAUUACUUGCCAUGUAAAGGAUAUCCAACUUGUUCCCUCAUGCUAUCACCAUAGCAUCUUUGGUAAUUUUCCAAGAGCCACCAACGAAUGUUAUAUCAUACCCCUCAUAUCUAACUGUCCAACUAAAACCAAAUUCCUCUUUAAUCUUGAAACAUAUCUGACGUUCUUAAGCUUCUAUAUUGACUGGUUCGGCAUCUUUGUAUGAACAUCACAUUUCCCCAC